CCUACGGGAGGCAGCAGUGAGGAAUAUUGGUCAAUGGACGAGAGUCUGAACCAGCCAAGUAGCGUGAAGGAUGACUGCCCUAUGGGUUGUAAACUUCUUUUAUAUGGGAAUAAAAUGUUCCACGUGUGGGAUUUUGUAUGUACCAUAUGAAUAAGGAUCGGCUAACUCCGUGCCAGCAGCCGCGGUAAUACGGAGGAUCCGAGCGUUAUCCGGAUUUAUUGGGUUUAAAGGGCGCGUAGGUGGAUUGUUAAGUCAGUUGUGAAAGUUGGCGGAUCAACCGUAAAAUUGCAGUUGAAACUGGCAGUCUUGAGUACAGUAGAGGUGGGCGGAAUUCGUGGUGUAGCGGUGAAAUGCUUAGAGAUCACGAAGAACUCCGAUUGCGAAGGCAGUUCACUGGACUGCAACUGACACUGAGGCUCGAAAGUGUGGGUAUCAAACAGGAUUAGAUACCCUUGUAGUC
RNAcentral lists this ribosomal RNA (460 nucleotides) under uncultured bacterium. RNAcentral describes it as "partial 16S ribosomal RNA". It matches the Rfam family "Bacterial small subunit ribosomal RNA", at positions 338 to 795 of the family's 1533-position model. The record is from RNAcentral.